GACGACAGUAAACAAGCUUUAACUAUAGCUCUGUACACACACACACACACACACAGUCAUUUUUUUCAUCUAAGGUAAGCGAUGCAGCAAUAUUUAGUUCCCAGAUUACAGACACAUUCUUUUGUCUUUCUUUUUUUUUUACUUAUUCAGUGUUUGUUGAACCAACGAGCAGCAAUUUUAGCAGCAGGCGAUGCCAGAGAUGAUGACGAUGGAGCCAGGAGACACAAUGUUUUUAGAAAACGCCAACCUACAGCACGCCCGUCGUCAUCAUGAAUUAUUCCUACGAAGUCGGCCCUACAGGGGAGAACUACCAACUGUGGCUGGACUCCUCCUCUACCCGGACACUCCUGCUAAGAUGGAAACAACAUCCAGAGAAGCUUUUUGCUUCAGGCCGCGCUCACACCAUGACAGAGGCCAAGGUCGAGGGGAAAGAAGUUCCCUGAACACACAAGACGGGCACCGCUGUUCUCAUCUCACAUCCUCAAAGCAAACAGGAAGAGGAAGCAGAGAACAGGAACCAGGAACGGCCAGACACCCAACGGCGUCUACUGAAGUGAAACAAGAGAUGAAAUCUCAGUAUCAGAAGGACUUCCCAGCUCCAUCCUCCAGCUGCAGGAGGACGACACCUGCCCUUCCACAGCCCGACAACAUCGGCAUCAACCAGGCGUUCAGGUGAGGAGGGCGUGGUCAGAGUCCAACGAUCCUGAAGCACUCACUAUAGUCUGUAUCUCACCUGAACCUCUGAUCCACAGGAUGGACUUCAACACAGUCCAAAGACAGACUUACCCCAGCUGGGCAUCAAUGAGUUCAACCAUGAACUGAGAGAAGAAUUUUUUUAAUUUUUUUUUUAAAACUAUUUUCAUUGGCCCAUAACUGCACGUGGGAAUGUAAGAAAAAUCUUAGGAUUUAAAACAAUUUUUCCACUGAUCACCACUCGUGAAUAUCGAAAAUCCUUUAUGAGGCCAUUGUAGCUUGCCUCUGUGUCUCAUAAUCAUUUAUUGUGUAUUAGUUUUUCAUUAAUAACAUAAAUAUAUACAUAUAUAAUAACCCUAGCCCUAACACUAAUCAAGAGCCCUGAGUGAACGUCACCUUACAGCAUGGUAUCAAUGGUCCACCUCCUUUCCUACUUUAAAAUCAGUCCACGACAAAGUUUUCCUCAAAAUUCUCAAAAAACGUUGACCGACCGGAAUUCUUUAUUCAUUACCUGGAAUCCCUCCAUUAGUACCAAUGUUAUGGUGUGAGAAUGUUUGGUGGGUAUUGCAUUAAAAGACCUACACCACUCUACACAGACAGAGACAGACAGACGACAAACUGGGCUGAGGGUAAUAAAAACCAUUGCAUCAGAAAAAUAUUUAUUUUU
RNAcentral lists this long non-coding RNA (1360 nucleotides) under Gouania willdenowi (blunt-snouted clingfish). RNAcentral's name for it is "lncRNA (ENSGWIG00000001539.1)". The record is from RNAcentral. Lineage: Eukaryota; Metazoa; Chordata; Actinopteri; Blenniiformes; Gobiesocidae.